This 478-nucleotide ribosomal RNA is filed under the name uncultured bacterium. RNAcentral describes it as "partial 16S ribosomal RNA". It matches the Rfam family "Bacterial small subunit ribosomal RNA", at positions 28 to 523 of the family's 1533-position model. The record is from RNAcentral.
GACGAACGCUGGCGGCGUGCUUAGCACAUGCAAGUCGAACGGUAAGGCCCUUCGGGGUACACGAGUGGCGAACGGGUGAGUAACACGUGGGUGAUCUGCCCUGCACUUUGGGAUAAGCCUGGGAAACUGGGUCUAAUACCGGAUAGGACCACGGCCUGCAUGGGUUGUGGUGGAAAGCUUUUGCGGUGUAGGAUGGGCCCGCGGCCUAUCAGCUUGUUGGUGGGGUGAUGGCCUACCAAGGCGACGACGGGUAGCCGGCCUGAGAGGGUGUCCGGCCACAAUGGGACUGAGAUACGGCCCAGACUCCUACGGGAGGCAGCAGUGGGGAAUAUUGCACAAUGGGCGCAAGCCUGAUGCAGCGACGCCGCGUGGGGGAUGACGGCCUUCGGGUUGUAAACCUCUUUCACCAGGGACGAAGCGCAAGUGACGGUACCUGGAGAAGAAGCACCGGCCAACUACGUGCCAGCCGCCGCGGUAA